UAUAUAUGUCUCUGCGAUGGGGAAAGUACUGCAGCCACGGGGACGGCGAUGAGGAUCGGCCGGCAACGGAGGAACGGCGGUGAGCUCGGCUGGUUCGGAUGGUGGUGGAAACGGAGCCUGCCCUCUUCAAAGCCUUCGGAGCCACCGCCGGAUACUUCUUUUUCCAAUCUCUCUCUCUCCCUUUAAUUUUCUAAUUUAAGAUUGCGAAUCAGAUUUCGAAAUUUCUCUGGUUUUCUAGGUUUUUUUUUUUUUUUUUUUUUGUUCUUCCUUUCUUGUAAAUUUCUAAGGAUUUUAUCUGAAAUUUGAAAGAAAGGUACGGAUUUAUUGAAGGGUUUAUGAUUUGCAGUAGUGGAAAAUCAUGGCAGAGGCUAACCCUAACAUCAUCAUCCAUCAGCGAUUUUCGUGGCCGUAGAAUCGUUGUUCAGAGGCGUCAAGCCAUACCCACAAUAGGAAAUUACCAACUUCUUAAUCCACCAGGUCUGUUGCUGCUCAAUCUCUCCCUCCUCCCCACCAUGGCCGCCGCCUCCUCCCACCUCCUCCCACUGCCCGCAACCAUCUCUCUCCUCUCUAAACCCAUCAACAAUAUACGCACAACCGGCCACCACCAUCGCUUUGCAAAACCGCCACCACCGUCCCCACACAUAAUCACACGAUUUAGGGUAUCCCAUUGUGUUUACCCUAACAUAAUUUUAAUUAUAAAGCAGAAAUCAACUAGAACAGUUUCAGACCUGCAAAGAUUUGCUCACAGAGUUGCUUCUCUUUGAGAAAGAAAAUUCGAACACAAAACUUGGCUGCACGUAUCCACUGUUUGAUCUUCACCUCCACCACUUGCCACUCCAACCUCCAGAGAUCUUCAAUGCUCAAUUUCUCGAUGCAGUCCAUCUCUUCCCACGGUUUGAUGCAGUCCAUGUCUGUUGUUAUAAGUUGGAGCGACUAGAGAGAGCUAACCUGUUAGGAAGACUAAACCAAGAAUUUUUUUUUGGGAACAAGAUAAUAAAUAUGAACUUCAUUUUUAUUUUUUAUUAUUAUAUAUAUAUAUAUAAUCCACCUCUGACUUUUUCAUUCUUCAACCUAUUCAAGCACACUUCAGUUCAUUCCAUUUCCAUAACUCUCACAACUCACAAGCCAUCACUAAAUUAAGAUAUGGUAAAAAUGAGUAGUAGCUCAUCCCAUAAGUAGCACAAAGGCGUACGUGGCCGGAAAUGGUUGUCGGAUAUACGAGUUCCGCGCACCAAAAACCGCCGCUGGCUCGGCUCCUACACGACGUGUAAGGCGGCCGCAGUGGCCCAGGACAUAGCCUCCUACUGCCUGUGAGGAACCUCUUUUGUGCAAAGUCUUAAUUUAUCAUCAAUGUUUUUAUAUCUAAAGACUAUAUAUAUAUAUACACACACACAUACAAAACAGAGGGCGAGCUCGGAACGACCCAUCCGGCAUAAGAUGGACCGCAAGCCCACUGCCGUUCAAUCCCGCCGAGUCUCCCUCUUGCCCGGUGGAGAAGUCGGUGGAACUGGCGGUGGGCGACGGGCUGUGGAGAAAUCGGCAGAACUGGCAGUGGCGACUUAGCUGCGGCAGUGGUCGACGGGCUGUUGGACUUCGGAUUGGACCGGCAAGUAAAGACAGCGGGUUCCGGCGAUGGAUGGCUGUGGAGAAGUGAACUGGAGCGUACCGGCGAAACUGGGUUUACGUCGGCAGGGAAACUUCCGUCCUGCAUCGCUGCCGAUUAGAAUCCUUGCUGGCCGACGUUGUACAUCGCUGGAGGGAUUGUUGGAUCAAACCCAGUUUCACUCUCUCUCCCUUUAUUUUUGUUUUUUUUAUAUUUUUUUUGAAUAAGUAGAAAUGCAACCAGUGAUGGCUUGGGUAUGGGGGUGGUGGAGCAGUGAUGUGGCGGCCGGUAGCAUAAUGGGUUUGUGAGUGAGUCAACUCAACAAAUUCGGGUUUGUGAUGUGAUUUUGAUGACACACUGAACUAACUCAACAAAAAGGUAGAGUAGAAAGAUAAAAGGCAAGUUAAAAAUUUUUAAUUUAUUUGUGUGGACUUGUCCUUCACGAAGUGCAUAUAUCAAGGAUAUUUUUGUACUUAACCCAUCUAAAUUUAAUAUCAAGGAUAAUUUUAUCUUUUUUAUCCUUUCAUAUAAUUUAAAGCCUGUUAUUGUCCAAAUACAAAUAACUUUUAUCAUAAUGUCGUUUGGUAACCCUAAAACAAAAAUGUAUGGUGCUGUCGGCUGCGGCCUAUAUAAACAGAACUGCCCUAGCGUAUAUCAAUCGCUUUAAGUUUCAAUGAAUUGAAUGAGUAGUAGUAAUAAAAGUUCCAGAAGCAUACGGUACUUUCCGGCCUCGAGAAAAACGACGAAGGGCAACCGUUCUCGUAGAUCGACCGCCGGAAUCGUAGCGUGGCAUGAGGUGCAGAUUGUUCAAGAGAUUAUACAAGAACUGGGUCAUAUAUAUCGUUAAAAGUUGCUAAGCACCAAUUGGGGAUAGAUUCCCGUCUCAACGAAGUGAUCACUUUGCUAGACAAUGGAUUAAAGGAUGUGCGCAUUGUGCGGAAUUGUGGAAUUGGCAGAAUAGUUAAGACAACUAUUGCCGAAGUAGUUCAGUCUCUUGAAUUUGUAAGGAAACAACUUCUUUAUAGGUGAUUGAAUAUUCCGUUGAAAACAAAUUUGGCAAUAGUUGUCUUUCCUAUUCCGCCAAUCCCACAAAUCUCCACAAUGUAGGAUCCUUUAACCUAUUGUAAAGCAGAGUGGUCACUUUAAAUUAUUUGUUUAUGGGAAAGGAGACAAAAAUAUCAAGACUUGCUAAGUAAACAAAGGUUGAUGCAUACAAGAAGUCGCAAGGGCUAUACUUGUCUAGAGGACAAAAUGGUAAGCGACACUUAUCAAUGUUUAUUGUGAUUGAACCAUAGUACUAAUAUGAAAAUGGUGUUAAUGAUUAAUUCAUGUUGGAUCUCAUUAUUUUGCUCAUAUAUAUUUUGUGAGCAGAAUUUUCAGUCAACAAAAGUGCCUAUUACUUAAACAGCCAUAAUUGACUUUAGAGAGGUUUGAACUCAUCACUGCUUGUUGCAUUGGAAAGUAGACUCACAGAACUUUCCAACCAUAUAUAGAUUACCUUCUAAUUCUACUUCAAAUGAAUUUGCAAUGCCUCAAAGUUAACCUAAAAAUGCUUUAUGAACUCUCUGAAAUUUGAAACCUUCAAAGUUAUUCCAUUUUAUAAGGCAUUCUGUUCCCCAAAAUGGGAUUGUCUUGCAGUGAGUCUUGCACGCACAUCUGACUUCUGCUAAAAUGGAAUUAAGAUGGUGGUCAUGCUGUAUUAAACUUAUCUCUUUUGCAUUAUAAUGUUAUUGACAUCGAGUGUAAAGAUUUUUUUAUUUACUAUUUGUGCACAAAUAUUGUUCUUGUGUAGAGAUUGUUUUUUGUAUUUUUUUGUUUGAUGCACCCGAUUGUAUCAAGAGUAGACGAUGGAUCAAAGGACACAUGAAGAAGGAUGGGAAUCUUUUGAGUGAUUCAAUAAGGGAGGCAAUGGUAACUAACAUAUCUUUCCUACCUAUUUUAUCUUUUUUAUUUAUUAAAUUUACAAUCAUGCUUUAUUCCAGGAAUUUCAGACACAAAUGCAAUUGUAUGACCUAGAAAAUUAAUGAAAAUUCUAUAGGUAGUUUGGUCAUUUAAGGCUCACAGCUGAAAGCUUUAAAUUAUUUUUUAACUCCCCCUUCUGACAUACCACCAGAUUUUGUUUGUGUUCCAAUUUUUUUUAUACUUGCUGCCAUCAUAUUUUUAAAAUACUCCUUUGGAAGGAUAUGUAAAUAUUUGGCAACCACCAGUAUGUUAAGAGCAGAACAAUAGCUUGACCCUUGAAGGUACAAUCAUCGCACUACUUUUGUUUCUCCCUUCAUUUUUAAGGUGCACCAUCUUAUAUUGAAAGUCGUUUGGUAUAUGGGACUUUUAUCACUGCAACAAGCAAUGAUUAGGGUUCCUCUUAUAUAUCCAAGUGGUUAGAAAAAGAAAAAAGAUGCUUUCACAAGGCAGUCUGAAUUCAUCAAUAAACUUGCUCAUUACUUCUUUGAGCUCUGUGUUUGUGCCUGUGAAAUGAAGAGGUCAUGUUGGUACCACUCAUCGAGGUCAUCACUCAUCAGUAGAACCAUUCUGUUAACAUCAUUGAUAAUUUUUAGAUUCAUUGAAAUUUUGCACUGCGAUAAAUUCUGCGGAGAGGAUGGGAUUGUAGCCUUGUUCCACAAUGGCUCUUGACUAGAUUGCUCAAUGUACUGCAACUCUGAUAUUUUAUCAUCUCAUGAACCCAAACAUCAUCAGUUUAUCACAAUGAAACAUAUUUAUGAGCAGAAGUACUGAUGUAUUUUAAUGCAUUUAGCAAUGUAAGUGUUUAUUAAGGUAAAUGGUAAAAUUUUCAAUAAGAAUUUUUAUAAUGGUUAAAAAUACUUUUAAUAUUUGUCACUAAGCAUCAAAAUGACUUUUUUUGUUUUGGAAGGAAUUUGAAAAUUGUAUUCAUCAAACUUAUGUUUUCUUUCAAAUUUCUUCUAAUGAAGUCCUUUAGAGGCUUUUCCAGAGCAGGAUUUUUGGUGUUAGGAAGCUUCUCCAAAUACAACUUGCCCCUCUCUUGUGCAUGUUUGUGUGUCUCCAACACUUGAUAUAAUCAUUUUUCAUAGAGAAUAUUAACUCUCGACUGGUUCACCUUUUUUUUUUCGUUUUCCCUUUCUCAUUUUCUUUGUGCUUGCUUUUUCUCAUCACAGAAUAAGAGAGAGAGAGACGAUGAUCAGCAAUAUCUGUUACCGGACACCAAGAAAUUAGAUUUUCACAAAGAAUUUUUCUUUUCUUUUCUAAUGAAUUUUGUACCCCUUUUUUUUUUAUAUAUAUAAAUUGUACUGGUUGUAUUAUUUUUAUAAGAUGUUUAGUCGUUAUGUCUUGUGGAACUACUGUAAAUUAGAUGCAAUAGUGGUCAGCAAUUCUUUCUCUUGUUUUAUGUUUUAUAUUAGUAGAAAAGAAAUGACAAAUAGGUUCAAAGAAAUAAUCUCUUGGUGAAACUGGAAGAUAUUUCCUUAUUGCAUCUGGACGGGGGCCCUGGGCAGAGGGACCAGAUAAUAAUAUAUGUGGUCUGUAUAUGCAUUUUGUAAUACUUGAAUGGAAUGACCCUGCACCUUCAGGCCUGUGCUGAGGGUCCUUUUAGGUGUAAUCAGAAAUUUAGAAACUGCCAAGCUGGUAGCUUUGGGAUGUUACAGACGUAAAAAAAUAUCCUUGAGUUCCUCUAAGGUUCUCUACUUCACCCUUAAUGCAACGGGUAUUAUUUACAAAUUUAAAGAUUAGAUAUUCCUCCAGGUUCUGUUUUUGCCUUUAGCGCCUAUGUGACCAUUCUCUACUUCAUCCUUCAUGCUACUGCUAUAAUUUACAAAGUUAAAAUUUAAAGAUUAGAGAUUAUUCCUGGCUCUGUUUUUGCCUUUAGCACCUAUGUAACUGUUGGGAAGUUUCUUUGAGAAGAGUAAUGACUUUACUGAAUCCGAACUAGGAAAAGAAAGGAAUGGGAUUGAGAUUGAAGAAUGUAUAUAGUGAUAGGAAUAAUCAGGAUUUAUAUCUAGUUUUCUGCAUUAGUAUUUAUUUUCAACUUUCAAAAGAUAAUAUCUUUUGAAAUGGACUGAAGUUUAGAAUGAAGUGUCCGGGAUAAUCCUUUGUUCCAUAGCCCUAGGGCUAUUUACAACUAGCCAAUUAAGAAUUCUCAGAUGUACUAGUACUAGCCAUGCAUCAAAGAUGCAAUCAUCGAUUCUCCCGAGAGGCCACAAUUAUCACGAGCAAACAUAUUAAUGACGAGGAACGCAUUUUUGUUAUGCUACUAAUACUUGUACUUGCUCUGCUAUUCUGCCCAAGCCUGGCCGAGGAAGAGUUACGGAGCGCGUAAAACAAAAAAAUACGUUGAUGGGGACCCUAAAAAAAAAGGAACCUUUCCUCUCCCCAGCCAUUUCGGGUUAAGAAGAUGUGAAAGCGCUUUUCUUUCUAUAAGAACGGUGCGUUCCGAGGUGUGAAGUGGUAGAUAAGGGAUGUCAUAAUUGGGGUCUUGAAUAAGACAACAUUUUGAAUUUUGAAUUUUGAAUUUUUGCUUGGCCAUACCACAUUAAGGAUAUUAGUUUGGUAGUGAGAAAUGACAUUAAUGUGUCACUAAUUUAUUAGAAGGUAAAAUGCCAAUAUAUAUAUAUAUAUGAACUAAACCUAAAUCUGCAAAUAACCCAUGAACUACAAUUGUUACACAAUACCCCCCCUCAACUAUCAAGUUUUGUUGCAAAAUGCCCCCUACCGUCAAUGUGCCGUUUAGUUUUGAACGACCCAUGCCCAUCACGUGAUGGGCUAUUUUUCUUUUAAUGACAAGAAUGCCCUUACAAGGGUUAAAAGUCAAUAAUACCCUUCUUUAUACCCAAAACUACCUAACUUAUAUAUAUACACACACACACAUAAAUGAUCUCUUGCUCAUCGGUGAGUAAGAAGUGAGUAAGAAAUUUAUCCGCACCAAGCAUGAUGAUUGUUGAAUGUGAUUGCUAUCUUAUUUUGGUAAUUAUUUUUUUAUCAUCGAAUGGUUACCAUGUAUGGUGCGGAUGAAUUUUUUGCUCAUUGGUAAGCAAGAGAUCAUUACUCUAUAUAUAUAAUUAGAAUCCCUAAUUCAAUUUACGGGAAUUAAAAAAACUUCCUAAUUAUCUUCUUCACUAAGUUGACCUUCGCUCUCACCUCUCUUCACUCUCUCCCUCUCUAUGAUGAGUCGAGAUUGGAAAUCUAUUGGUUUUAUGUGAGUUAGUUGUCGGUUGACAUUUGGCUGGCUGUCAUUGCCCAGUGGUUACCGAACAGUGAAUUGUCAUGGAUUUGAGAUGAGGUUUUGGGGGAAUGUUGUGGAGAUUUUUUAUCUAAGGUUUUUGGGUUGAAUGGUAUUCUAAUUUGAGAGAGAAAAACAUAGCAUAAUGGAAAAAAUAAAAUAAAAUUGUUUCCACAAAACUUACAUCAAAUCAAACAUAACCCAGUAAACCACCAUGCAUAUUGUUCGACAUGCCUGAUUCAAUUUGACCUAAUCCAUCUCAUCCAUUUAAGUGAAAAUUCGUCUUUUAAUAUUUCCGUUAACGGAAGGUGACGAGUAUGUCCUUGGUUGGAACAAAUCAAUAGUUCAAGAGGGUUCAGGGGUUUAUUUGCAAAAGCACAAUAUUUCAGGGAGGUUUUUGCAUUUCUCUUUAUUAGAUUGAGCAUUAUUUUAAUUAUAGUUUUGUGUUUUUUUGUGUGUUACAUAUAGAUUGAGCGGAACCAAAUCCUUAGGUAGAUGGUAUCUCUAUUUUGGUGUUUAAUCUAAUGUAACAAUAGUAAUGGUUUCUAUUUCUUUCUACAGGAGUGCCAUGGACUGAGGGUGAACAUAUGUCCUUACCUGGUUUGGAUGGGAGAGGAAUUUCAAAGAUGUAUGUGACCACAAGGACACCAACACAGGUGACUUGCCACAUACAAAUAUCUCAUCAGAUGGCAGCCAUCAGUACGUUAGGAGGUGUCGUUUUGCGGUGCUUACUAAGUUUAUUUUCAUUUUAUGAACUUGGAAGUGAGAAGUGCUAGCUUUUCGAGUUGGAUGAUAAUUGAACACUAGAUGGUGUUCUAUCAGAUUUUUUUAUUUUUAUUUUUUUCAUGUUGAAAGUUGAUGAAUGGUGAAAUUUUUUUUUAUUGUUUUGAUCUUACCAAUAGUGUGUUUCAAUGUAAAGUUGUUUUAGUUAUUAGCGUUAAAUUUAGAUUUGUUAGCCUUGUAUGGUGUUUUAGUUAUAAUUGUUGGCAUUACAGGUCUGUUGGUAGCAUUUGAUGGUUUGUUUUUUUAGGUGGGGUUUGGGUUAAAUCCUUAGGGUAUUUUUUUUUUUUUUUUUUUUGCGGCCACUAAGAAUGCAGUAAAUAAUUACAUACAAUGAGUUAAUAACAUCCUCUCUCUUCUCUUUAUUAUCA
Long non-coding RNA from Cornus florida, 7942 nucleotides. RefSeq lists it as uncharacterized. Lineage: Eukaryota; Viridiplantae; Streptophyta; Magnoliopsida; Cornales; Cornaceae. The transcript has 2 exons. The record is from RefSeq and is a predicted model, not a curated record.